This 622-nucleotide unclassified non-coding RNA is filed under the name Schizochilus cecilii subsp. transvaalensis. RNAcentral describes it as "partial external transcribed spacer". Lineage: Eukaryota; Viridiplantae; Streptophyta; Magnoliopsida; Asparagales; Orchidaceae. The record is from RNAcentral.
CUAACGUUCGUGCCUCGCGGCUGCUCUUUAUUCCCAUCUAAUGCUUGAUCCUUUUGGCUGCUAYUCAUCGGUGGUGCUUUGCUUCACGUCGUUGGUGUGCUGUCAUUGGGGCUUUUGCUUAUUUGGUUGUUUAGAGACCGUUUGCGGCACAUGAGUUGUGUUCGACUAUGCUCACUUUGAUUGGUGCACCCUCGAGUGUUGCUGAUCAUCGUUAAAGCAUUCAUUUCAUUUGGUUGGCCACCCAAAUCACUUUGAAUGUGGUUGAUCCAUCCUUUGUUGCUUGCAUUUGGAUUCCGUUCACUAUUGGCAUUGAAUUUUGAAAACAGAUUGACAUGUGCCUGUGGCUUCAAUGAGAAAAGAGGCGAUGGUUUGAGAUUGCAGUUUUCUACCAGCUCCUGCGUAAGUCGUAUGUCCCUAAACAAACAUCAUGCUUGCUGGUUGCUGAUCUAUAACUCUGCAUUUUGUUGCUAUAUGGAGGCGGCGAAUAAGAAACAUAUCUCGGUGUCAUUGACACCUUGCAGACGUGAGUUAUAUCUUGAGGCAGUCUCGCCUCCUAUCCUCGUGCAAUCAUGAUUCCUCCCUUCUAUCCAUCGGCAUGACGGUGUUUCGUUGGGUUUGUUUC